CGUCUAACCGAGCAUCCCCUUUUUGCCAGCCCGGAAACAGGUAAAAAUCGGGGUUUGCGCGCGACCUUUGACCCCGUGGGAUCGUAGAAACAGGGUGUGCGUAUUGUGCGGAGAAAUUUUCUCACGGGUCAUCGUAACUCGUGCACCCGUCGAAACGACUAUUUAAGAGCCGCUACCGCCUUCCAUCUCCGCAGAAGUAGCCCGCUACCCGAACAGAAGGGCGACAGAGCGUCCUGAAGGAAGGAUUCGCAGCGAUAUCUUCCGGCAAUGGUCUCGAGGACCAGCUCGAAGAUGGGAUCAUCGGAUGGAGACACGCAAAAAGUUUAAACAAUAACGAAAAUCGAAGAAAUGGGUAGACCAAAAUCAGACAGAACAAAAUCUCGUUAGAUUUGAGAAAGAAGAAGGAGGAAAUGAAGAAAGAAAGACGACUACUACUACUGUGAAAAAUAGAAGCAUUAAAGGGCGCGUCAAAGACUCUACGUCCAAGGAUCCAAAGCACGAAACCCCGAUCGUAAAAGUUUCGAGAACCGCGUAGAAAAGUACAAAACGGAUGACGAAGGAAGAAGAGAAAGGGAAAAUUUCACAGUCUGAAAAUAGAAAUGAGAAAUAGUAUCGGUAAACGUUUUUUGCAACACAUUUUCAAACUUACAAAUUUGAGAAUCGUUAUACCGAAAAAAAACGAACAAACCGAAGAACGAAGAGGAGCUUUUGGAACUUUUUCAAACGAAAACAAAAGUCCAAGAAGCAACGACAAUCAAUUGCCAAACAUAGUAUAACAACAAUAAUAUUGGCAUUUCAGUUACAUCGAAAUUCUAAAAUUCUAAAACAAAAUCUCAAUGUUAAUGAAACGGAGAAAUUCACAUAGCAGAUAAAAUAGAAAACAGGUAGCGUUAAAGUUAAAGGAAAAUUCAAAAACGAACAAGCUAUAUUUAAAUUAAAGCCUUCGGAUACCUCGUGAGUUGAAAUUAAGAGUUAUCAGCUGAAACUGCCAAAAAAGAAAAGAACAAAAAAAAAAGAAAAAGAGAAAAAAAAAGAGAAAAAGAAGGGAAAAAGAAAAGAAAAAGAAAGGAAAGAAGAAGAUAAUGGAAAUUGAUUUGUUAUCGUUUACUUUAGUCAAAAUCGCGGUAAAUAGAGUCUGAAAUAGAUUAAUGUUGAAUUCUUAAUUAAAUUCUUCACCUUUUCCGCGCCAUUUUAUAAGCCAGACAGAAUAGACAACGUUCAACUGGAAUCGACUGUAAUAAUAUCUUUUAUUUACUUCCGACUUCCUAAAUGAUAAUAACGAUAGAAAAUAAUUGGAGAGACGAGUAGAGUGAAGAGUUAUGGUUUGUUUUAGUUAACGUUUUACAACGAUCAGUAAGAAAAUUAUUGUUCAGUUUUUAAAUAAUUGUUCUCGUUUUUAGCUCGUUAAAUAAUCGGUUCGUUAAGUUUGUCCCCCGUUUAUUCGUCAGCCAUUGAUUUUCAAACGACGUUACAAAAAUUCCUAGUUCUUUGUUAAAAGAAAUUUAACCGCGUUUCCCUUUGUUCUUGUUAAGUUUGUCGUUCUCUCUUAUUUUCGUUAAUGUUAACAUGCCAGCUGUUGAGUUAAUGUUAAUCACCUAAACUUGAGAAAUCAAAGUUAACGUUUAACCGGGUUGUGUUUUUGUUUUAUAUCCGAAUGAUUGGAAAAGAGAAGGUAUUUUAGGCUGAAAGUAUUCCAUGUUUACGCAUAAGAUAUUAAGAGAUAAAUUGUGCGCAAGAAUGGUCAAUAUUAUCGUACUUUUCGCGUAGAAUGUUCACAAAGUUUAAACGAAGUUUCACGUGGACAUUGCGUUUUCUUUCGACGAUUAGUUAAAAAAAAUCUGUUUUCCCCAUUGUUCGUUGUUUCGUAGAAAACAAAUUUUUUUUACCGUUGAAUUUUCCUACGGACAAAGUUAAUAAUCGGUUGGAAAGAAAACGAGGGAAAUUUGUACAGCGAAAAAGAAAAAAAGAAAAAAAGAGAAAAAGAAAAAAGAAUGAAAGAAUGAAAGAAGGGACGUUUACAUUGUUCACAUUGUUUACAUCGUUUCCUUGUUUAUCCGUAAAUAUUUCUAUUUUUGGUUCUUCACCGCUGUGCCUUAACUUUUACUUUGCAAGUGAUCGGUCACGUUAAUCGCGCGUUCGUGAUACCAUAAAUCUCUGAACGAACGACUCACAAUUAUUCUGGUAUACGAAUAUCGUAUUGCGCGAUACGAUACAUAAAUGAAUUAAUCAUCCGUUUAAUUCGUUUAUUUAUUUGUUUCCGAAUUGUACUUUUUUCAUCGAAUUGUAAUUUUAAGAUUAAGACCCUUGUAUCGAUACUUGUUUAUUUAACUGUAUUACUCGCCGAUCAAUUACCGAACGAUCGAAUGAUAACGGUUCGUUCGUUCGCUCGAUCGUUGAUUAUCCGACUUUCCUACGUGUCGGUUCGUUAAACAAUUCUGUCUUUUAAUUGUAAUCGUGUGUAUUCGAUAAAAUAUUAAUCGAGGAAAAGAAACGUAGCCGGUGAAGCGUUUUAAAUACCCGUUUAUAAAUUCGUGUGCCGAUUAAUCGACAUUGUAAUUAAUACCUUUAGAUAGCGUGUGUGUACGAGUGAAUUUUUUUUACCUCUACCAUUGAUCCAAUUUUUCCAUCUUGAUGUAAUUAUGCCUGUGAACAUUAAUGAACAACGAGAGAAGAAUCGACUAUUAAGCGUGUACGAAUUAAAAGAUACGUGUAAUUAAAUACUCUUUGGCAUUCUGUAAACUAUUUAAUUUAACCUAUGAGCUCUGCAUAAAUAAAAAGCAACUUACUUACAUCGCAUUACGCAAACUA
Bombus pascuorum is the source of this 2808-nucleotide long non-coding RNA. RefSeq lists it as uncharacterized. The transcript is spliced from 2 exons. The record is from RefSeq and is a predicted model, not a curated record. Lineage: Eukaryota; Metazoa; Arthropoda; Insecta; Hymenoptera; Apidae.